This 1315-nucleotide long non-coding RNA is filed under the name Homo sapiens (human). Its description in RNAcentral is "HSALNT0162956". Lineage: Eukaryota; Metazoa; Chordata; Mammalia; Primates; Hominidae. The record is from RNAcentral.
AAAAAUACAUAUAGAAUUAAGAAUACAUUCUUCAAAGGUUAACUUACACACAAUUAAUAUAAUUUCAAAAUGCUUUGCCUUGGAGCAAAACGGAAGUCAAUAUAUAAAAAGCCAUACCGUUGAUGCUAAUAUUUUAGACUCAGUUUUGUCAUUCACCCUUUUUGAACCUCAGCAUUCUAUUCUACAUGACAGCAUUAGCUUAAAUCUACUCUGAUUCUUUUUUUCCUCUUAACCUUUUAUAAAACCAAUACAUAUACUCUCAGAAGAAGCAAUUGAAUCUACUAGAAUGUUUUGGAUUUGGAGAGCUUUGAUAAUUCAGAUGGUGCAAUAAUAUUUAAUAUUUGGAAUAAUCAGAGUUUGGAGUGAGAAACUACCUUCACAUCUCUUCAGUCCAGUCUCUUUACCCCAGAUGAAACAUCGUUUCUCAGGAAGUUCACCAGAAGCUAUCAAAAGGUUGUCUCCACACCUGGAUUUAAAGCAUUGACCCACAAGAAGUUAUUUCUCAGCCUUUCUUGCAGUUUCCAUGUACUUGGGCCCUACACAAGAUGUGGGAUGAAAGCAGUGAAAGACAUUUCCACUACUGGUCCUCUUAAAAAUUCUAAUACAAACUUCCAGUAAUGACCUUGGAGACCCUAUGUUCCAGAUUGAGAAGUUAAAAGAUAGACAAGGACUACAUAGCCUACAUCAAGUUUUGGGUAUAUUAACUUCUACCUUCCAUGUUCUGUGGAAUCUCAUGCCAAAGGCUUUUUUGAGCAAUUGGGUCUUGACUGCUGCAGCUUGAUGAUAGAUUCAACACGAUCUAAUGAAGAAUGACAGCUGGAAAUCAGAGACAGUGUGCAAUAUAGAAACCAUCUUUUUCUCAAUGUCACCAUGAAUUAUUUAUGUAACUCAAAAUAUUUUAUUUCACGUUCAAAAUAAAUAAAUCUGCUUUAAAAACAAGUUUAAUAAGCUUAUUGUAUAUUGUAGUUAUCUGACACAUUUGGGUAUUUAUUUACGUGUGUAAUUAUCAUGAAAAUCUGAGAGACGAUUUAUUUUCUAGAAAUUAAGCCCACUGCAAUGAAAUCUCCUUUUAGGUGUUCUAAUAGUUUUCCUUAUAAACAUCUUAUUACCUUGCAUUGAUAUGUUAUAUCAAAUUUUGAAAUGGGCAUCAUCUUCUAAUUUUAUUGGAGCACUAAAUACUCUAGCCACUGAAAACAAUUUAUGAGAGGAUUUCUUUUAAAAUUCUGUAAGGCUGAUGCAUCUAAUUAUCUCAGCUUCUUUCUUUUAAAAAUGUAUUUGACACAAAGAGAAAAAAUGAAUAAAAAUGUAUAUGAAA